This 484-nucleotide ribosomal RNA is filed under the name uncultured bacterium. Its description in RNAcentral is "bacterial SSU rRNA". It matches the Rfam family "Bacterial small subunit ribosomal RNA", at positions 19 to 518 of the family's 1533-position model. The record is from RNAcentral.
AUGGCUCAGGACGAACGCUGGCGGCGUGCUUAACACAUGCAAGUCGAACGGAAAGGCCCUUCGGGGUGCUCGAGUGGCGAACGGGUGAGUAACACGUGGGUGAUCUGCCCUGCACUUUGGGAUAAGCCUGGGAAACUGGGUCUAAUACCGAAUACACCCUGCUGGUUGCAUGACCUGGUGGGGGAAAGCUUUUGCGGUGUGGGAUGGGCCCGCGGCCUAUCAGCUUGUUGGUGGGGUGAUGGCCUACCAAGGCGACGACGGGUAGCCGGCCUGAGAGGGUGACCGGCCACACUGGGACUGAGAUACGGCCCAGACUCCUACGGGAGGCAGCAGUGGGGAAUAUUGCACAAUGGGCGCAAGCCUGAUGCAGCGACGCCGCGUGGGGGAUGACGGCCUUCGGGUUGUAAACUUCUUUCAGUAGGGACGAAGCGCAAGUGACGGUACCUACAGAAGAAGGACCGGCCAACUACGUGCCAGCAGCAGC